Molecule: ribosomal RNA, 253 nt
Filed under: uncultured bacterium
Lineage: Bacteria
Description: partial 16S ribosomal RNA
Rfam family: Bacterial small subunit ribosomal RNA
Source: RNAcentral
UACGUAGGGUGCAAGCGUUGUCCGGAAUUAUUGGGCGUAAAGAGCUUGUAGGCGGUUUGUCGCGUCUGCUGUGAAAUUUCGGGGCUCAACCCCGAACUUGCAGUGGGUACGGGCAGACUAGAGUGUGGUAGGGGAGACUGGAAUUCCCGGUGUAGCGGUGAAAUGCGCAGAUAUCAGGAGGAACACCGAUGGCGAAGGCAGGUCUCUGGGCCAUAACUGACGCUGAGAAGCGAAAGCAUGGGGAGCGAACAGG